GAUGAACGCUGGCGGCGUGCCUAAUACAUGCAAGUAGAACGCUGAAGGAGGAGCUUGCUCUUCUGGAUGAGUUGCGAACGGGUGAGUAACGCGUAGGUAACCUGCCUGGUAGCGGGGGAUAACUAUUGGAAACGAUAGUUAAUACCGCAUGACAACAGUUAUUGCAUGAUAACUGUUUAAAAGGGGCAACUGCUCCACUACCAGAUGGACCUGCGUUGUAUUAGCUAGUUGGUGAGGUAACGGCUCACCAAGGCGACGAUACAUAGCCGACCUGAGAGGGUGAUCGGCCACACUGGGACUGAGACACGGCCCAGACUCCUACGGGAGGCAGCAGUAGGGAAUCUUCGGCAAUGGACGGAAGUCUGACCGAGCAACGCCGCGUGAGUGAAGAAGGUUUUCGGAUCGUAAAGCUCUGUUGCAAGAGAAGAACGAGUGUGAGAGUGGAAAGUUCACACUGUGACGGUAUCUUACCAGAAAGGGACGGCUAACUACGUG
Molecule: ribosomal RNA, 495 nt
Filed under: uncultured bacterium
Lineage: Bacteria
Description: partial 16S ribosomal RNA
Rfam family: Bacterial small subunit ribosomal RNA
Source: RNAcentral